UACGUAGGGUGCGAGCGUUAAUCGGAAUUACUGGGCGUAAAGCGUGCGCAGGCGGUUCGUUAAGUCAGAUGUGAAAGCCCCGGGCUCAACCUGGGAACUGCAUUUGAAACUGGCGGGCUUGAGUAUGGCAGAGGGGGGUGGAAUUCCGCGUGUAGCAGUGAAAUGCGUAGAGAUGUGGAGGAACACCGAUGGCGAAGGCAGCCCCCUGGGUCGACACUGACGCUCAUGCACGAAAGCGUGGGGAGCAAACAGG
Molecule: ribosomal RNA, 253 nt
Filed under: uncultured bacterium
Lineage: Bacteria
Description: partial 16S ribosomal RNA
Rfam family: Bacterial small subunit ribosomal RNA
Source: RNAcentral